RNAcentral lists this long non-coding RNA (1122 nucleotides) under Apteryx rowi (Okarito brown kiwi). Its description in RNAcentral is "lncRNA (ENSARWG00000018344.1)". The record is from RNAcentral. Lineage: Eukaryota; Metazoa; Chordata; Aves; Apterygiformes; Apterygidae.
CGCCGCCGUAAGCGCUGCCCGCAGCAACGAGUACAGGAGGGUGCAGGGGAGGCUAAGCAGGAGGAAAGCCCUAUCACGUGACCAGCGAGCGCAAAACCCUCUCCAGAGCCCCUUCCUAAUCGGCACGGUCCUUCCGUAAUCGCGCCGAUCCUCGCUCAGCGCCCAUGCGGCGCGGCCGCCCGGCCCGAGCUCGCUCGCAGCGGGAGGAUUCAGCGUUUCUCGGCCGGCCGCCCGGGCAGAGGCGCGCGCAGCUCAGCGGAGCCGAGCGCCGCCUGCGUUCUGCGGCGCAGACGCUUCCCAUGGCGCGCGAUCACAGGAAGCCGUUCCCGGAACAGCUUACGAUAGCACCGUUCCUUCUAACGCGCUUCGGUAGCUGACGCAAGGGCAAUUCGCCAGCGCUACGUGCUAAGCCAGCGGCUCUUUUCGCACCCAGCGCUGCCACCUUGGGAACAACAAGAGCUAAACACACAGCCGUAAAACUAAGGUCCUGUCCACUCAGUCGAAAACGCCGUGAAAUUUCAUCCAAGGGUUAACGGAGUUGUGACGCCACCUAAAUUGCCGCGUGGGCAACCGCCUCGCCCCCGUGCACUGCCUCCGCUACGGACCCCACUUCUUCCCCUGGGCAGACAGCGCAGAGCCUGCACGGAAACGGGGUUUCCUUCCCUCCUGAGCGUGCUCGCUGGAGGGAGCAAGGUCUUCCCGGGAAACUCAGCGCUUGGCAAAGCAGCGCGUUCACCUCAAGCCACCCAUCGCUCAGCAGGCAGUGCCAGGGAGAACGGAGGGGGAAAAAAAAAAAUUAAGAAUAAUAAUCAAGAAACUGAGUCAAUCGCAGACAGAGGAGACCAAGCUCCUGUUCCCGGAAAUAGUUUUGUACGGCACUGUUAUCCCUGUGUGUUUGAGUGGCACAUAUGGCUGAUGACACACUGCUGUCACCUUCAGCUCCCCCAAAGAGGAAACGGGUGAUCGUCACUCAUUCAGCGCGCACACCCACACAGUCUCGCUGAGCACCGCGGGCGGGGGAAGAGCUCUGGCAGGAGGCGAUGCAGCGGCUCUACAAAAUGAAGCAGCAAAAGUAAUGAAAACAAAAAUAAAGCAGCUUUUAUUUAGAAGGUAAAUAAAUCA